Molecule: long non-coding RNA, 1241 nt
Organism: Bubalus bubalis (water buffalo)
Lineage: Eukaryota; Metazoa; Chordata; Mammalia; Artiodactyla; Bovidae
Exons: 5
Source: RefSeq, a predicted model, not a curated record
AAUGAACACUCAGGAUUGAUCUCCUUUAGGAUGGACCCACCUAAACUGUGAGAUAAUAAAGAGGAGUGUAUGAAACAUAAACCUACAUUUUAAAGACGUAGCCGACACUUUCGGAACCAUCACCCACACAGUGAAAUAAAUCAAGCCAGCAUCUCAGCAGGGCUUUUCUCUAUUUGCGCCUCAGACACUGUACAGAAGUGUAGCUCACCUGUUUUUGACCUUUAUAUAAGUGUGAGGUCUUAGUUCUCUGACCAGGGAUGGAAUCCAUGAACCCUGCAGUGGAACUAACAACUGGAACGUCCAGGGAAGUCACCCCAAAACUUGUCUCAACCAGGACUAAGCUCCAUAAUAUGGGAUCUAGUUCCCCAACCAGGGAAUGAACCCGUGCCCUAGAGUGGAAGUAUGGGUGUCCUGACCACUGGAGCAUCAGAGAAGUCCCCAGUUCAAGUUUUCGUUCAGUUUUCUGUCAGUUCGUUUGUCUUUGUCUGAUUGAUGAUUUGUAAUUUCCCACUUUGUCAUUUGUCUUUUAACUUUGCAAAUGGGAUGCUCACCCUCAGGUAUAAAAAGAGAUGACAAAGCUAUGACGGCAUUCUUUUUGCUAUUACCAGAUCAGCCAGGGAUCAAGGCGUCUGGUAAUAUUGUGCUGACAAGCAUGUGAAGGAUAUAUAGCAGUACAUUACACACGGGUGUGUAAACUAGUGAACUUCAAGACGAGUUUGGCACAUCUAGCACAGUGUGAAAUGCGGGUGUGGUUUGACUCCAGCCCUUUCAUUUCUAGGAAUUUAUCCUAUGACACACACAGUCCCUAACUUCUGAUGGUUCAACCUUGGGAUGGUGUGAAAGCAACAUUCACUCAGUAGAAAGCAUACUUCAAACUUUGAAUUUGGGUCUUUUCCCAGGCUAGCAGUAUUUGGGAGAAAAUUCUCUCAGGAUAUUGGUCAGGGCAGCAGCCACAGCUCCCAGCCAGCCAUGUGAUCACCAGGGUAAACAACCGAUAUGGCUACAACCAUUCUGAACCCAGACGGUCAUUCUGUGUUUCACUUUCAGUACAGUAUUCAAAAAAUGACAUGAGGUAGUCAACACUUUAUUAUUAAAUAGGCUUUGUGUUGGAUCGUUUUGCCCAGCUGAAGGCUAAUGUAAGUGUUCUGAGCAUGUUUAAGGUUGGCUUGGCUAAGCUUGAUGUGCUUUUAAGGAGUGUUAAAUGCAUUUUUUAUAAAGAUGUAUUUGUUGUGUUUAUCUUA